This 202-nucleotide ribosomal RNA is filed under the name uncultured bacterium. Its description in RNAcentral is "partial 16S ribosomal RNA". It matches the Rfam family "Bacterial small subunit ribosomal RNA", at positions 131 to 334 of the family's 1533-position model. The record is from RNAcentral.
UGGCAUGGGGGGACAACAUGUGGAAACGCAUGCUAAUACCGCAUGCGACCUAAGGGUGAAAAGCGGGGGACCUUCGGGCCUCGCGCUAUCGGAUGAGCCUGCGUUGGAUUAGCUAGUUGGUGGGGUAAAGGCUCACCAAGGCGACGAUCCAUAGCUGGUCUGAGAGGAUGAUCAGCCACACUGGGACUGAGACACGGCCCAG